AUUUGGUGACUAUGGUUUCACUGGUAAACUUGCUAGGACUUGGUUCAAGACUGUUGAUCAACUCCCUAUGAAUGUUGGUGAUUCACAUUAUGACCCUCUUUUCCCUUUUGGAUUUGGACUCACCACAGAACCAACCAAGGCCUACUAAUGAAACACAUGUUUUUUCACACACACACACAAGAAGAAGGGCCUACUAAAUGAAACACCUGUUUUUUCACACACACAACAAGAAGUCCAAACAUACACAGCUAUAUAUUACCUCUUUAUGAUUUGAGUUAACAAAUAUUGCAUAUGUAACAAAGGGACAAUUGGAGUUAUGAAAAUGAAAAUUUUUGUUUUGUCUCAACGUGUUCUCUCCGCAGCUGGAGCUUAUCGAGGACAUGAUCCUGGAUAGGAGGGUUUGGAGGUCGAGGAAUAGGGUAAAAGGCUAGUACGUACUCGAACGUUUUUCUUUUUCUUUCUCAGACCAGUAAAGUUAGUGCUAGUAUGGUAUCCUUCUUAUUCGUAUAUUGCUAUUACUGUAUGCCGUUAAUUGCUAUCUUUCUCUUCGGUUAUCUUAAUAUCUUACCGUUGUUACAACUUGUUGUUAUUGUUUCUUUUCAUUUUCUUUUUAG
This 614-nucleotide long non-coding RNA is filed under the name Nicotiana benthamiana. Its description in RNAcentral is "long non-coding RNA (NBEN_LNC022802)". Lineage: Eukaryota; Viridiplantae; Streptophyta; Magnoliopsida; Solanales; Solanaceae. The record is from RNAcentral.